CUAAGGUGAGUUUGAGACUACCGCUUAGAGGAUACGCUUUCGAGAGUUCUGUUUUUACCGUUAGCCUAACAUACGCUCAAUGAAAUUAUUACGGGGGUGCCAGUAGCUCUCGCUGUAUUGUCGGUAUCGCAAAAGUUCUAUCUUCUGUGGUAGAGUCGUCCUUGUUUAUUAUAAGCACAAUUAUUUAGUCAGUAUUGGCCCAAUAGCGACCUUACUACGGCAAUAGCAUCAACACUGUACAACCGUGCAAAAGUGAAAGCAUUUUUUUGCGUUGACCAAAUCGUUUCCUUUGUGAGCAAGUCCCUGGGAAAAAAAGGCUGUUGAAAAUGAACUUUAGCGUAUGCUUCAUAGCCCUUACCUUUUUUCUGAUGAGUUCUGAUUGGCAGCAUUCGAGCAAGCCUACAGUAGAAGCGGGAAAAGUUUUAUUCGGCGACAACGAAUGCUGGAAAUAUGAUUGCGUCUACAAAAGUUGCCCACCACAGGCUCCCAGUCAUUGUAUAUGCCCCACCGUUUGGGAAGCAAUGUUUGGAAUCAACAAUUGUCGAUGAGAAUAUUUCUAAAAAACCUGUAUUGUCUGAAAAUACACGUUAUUGACAGAA
Molecule: long non-coding RNA, 599 nt
Organism: Rhipicephalus microplus (southern cattle tick)
Lineage: Eukaryota; Metazoa; Arthropoda; Arachnida; Ixodida; Ixodidae
Source: RefSeq, a predicted model, not a curated record